CAGGCCUAACACAUGCAAGUCGAGCGGACUUAUCCUUCGGGAUAGGUUAGCGGCGGACGGGUGAGUAACACGUAGGCAACCUGCCUGUAAGAUCGGGAUAACUACCGGAAACGGUAGCUAAGACCGGAUAGCUGGUUUCUCCGCAUGGGGGAAUCAUGAAACACGGGGCAACCUGUGGCUUACGGAUGGGCCUGCGGCGCAUUAGCUAGUUGGUGGGGUAACGGCCCACCAAGGCGACGAUGCGUAGCCGACCUGAGAGGGUGAUCGGCCACACUGGGACUGAGGCACGGCCCAGACUCCUACGGGAGGCAGCAGUAGGGAAUCUUCCGCAAUGGGCGCAAGCCUGACGGAGCAACGCCGCGUGAGUGAUGAAGGUUUUCGGAUCGUAAAGCUCUGUUGCCAAGGAAGAACGCCUCGGAGAGUAACUGCUCUGAGGGUGACGGUACUUGAGAAGAAAGCCCCGGCUAACUACGUGCCAGCAGCCGCGGUAAUACGUAGGGGGCAAGCGUUGUCCGGAAUUAUUGGGCGUAAAGCGCGCGCAGGCGGUCUUUUAAGUUUGGUGUUUAAGCCCGGGGCUCAACCCCGGUUCGCACUGGAAACUGGGAGACUUGAGUGCAGGAGAGGAAAGCGGAAUUCCACGUGUAGCGGUGAAAUGCGUAGAGAUGUGGAGGAACACCAGUGGCGAAGGCGGCUUUCUGGACUGUAACUGACGCUGAGGCGCGAAAGCGUGGGGAGCAAACAGGAUUAGAU
RNAcentral lists this ribosomal RNA (750 nucleotides) under uncultured bacterium. RNAcentral describes it as "bacterial SSU rRNA". It matches the Rfam family "Bacterial small subunit ribosomal RNA", at positions 43 to 783 of the family's 1533-position model. The record is from RNAcentral.